UACGAAGGUCCCGAGCGUUGUUCGGAAUCACUGGGCGUAAAGGGAGCGUAGGCGGCGCGGUAAGUCAGAUGUGAAAUCCCGGGGCUCAACCCCGGAACUGCAUCCGAUACUGCCGUGCUAGAGGAUUGGAGAGGUAGCUGGAAUUCUUGGUGUAGCAGUGAAAUGCGUAGAGAUCAAGAGGAACACUCGUGGCGAAAGCGAGCUACUGGACAAUAUCUGACGCUGAGGCUCGAAGGCCAGGGUAGCGAAAG
RNAcentral lists this ribosomal RNA (251 nucleotides) under uncultured Luteolibacter sp. RNAcentral describes it as "partial 16S ribosomal RNA". It matches the Rfam family "Bacterial small subunit ribosomal RNA", at positions 524 to 774 of the family's 1533-position model. Lineage: Bacteria; Pseudomonadati; Verrucomicrobiota; Verrucomicrobiia; Verrucomicrobiales; Verrucomicrobiaceae. The record is from RNAcentral.